Molecule: ribosomal RNA, 253 nt
Filed under: uncultured bacterium
Lineage: Bacteria
Description: partial 16S ribosomal RNA
Rfam family: Bacterial small subunit ribosomal RNA
Source: RNAcentral
UACGAAGGGUGCAAGCGUUAAUCGGAAUUACUGGGCGUAAAGCGUGCGUAGGCGGUCUUUUAAGUCCGUUGUGAAAGCCCUGGGCUCAACCUGGGAAUGGCAGUGGAUACUGAGAGGCUGGAGUGCGGUAGAGGAGGGUGGAAUUCCCGGUGUAGCGGUGAAAUGCGUAGAGAUCGGGAGGAACAUCAGUGGCGAAGGCGGCCCUCUGGACCAGCACUGACGCUGAGGGACGAAAGCGUGGGGAGCAAACAGG